This 795-nucleotide long non-coding RNA is filed under the name Triticum aestivum (bread wheat). RNAcentral's name for it is "long non-coding RNA (TAES_LNC013182)". The record is from RNAcentral. Lineage: Eukaryota; Viridiplantae; Streptophyta; Magnoliopsida; Poales; Poaceae.
GAAGAGACCAAGGCAACACGAACAGGUAGAAUAGAAUCACAACAAAUAUCAUUCAAUUGUUCGAAUGAAAUGAUAACACGGCGCCAUUAGCCACGGGUUACAGACGCGGAUUGGGUUGAGUUUACCAAACGGGUCGAAAAGAAGAAUUACAAGCGCAGUUACAUAGUACCGAUAAUGUGUGGUGUAAUCAUCAUAGAGUGGUCAUUAGUUGAUCGGUGAAUUGAAAUUAAAUUAAAUUGAAUCAACCGACGCGUCUGCGUGGCGCCGCGUGGGAACGUGGGAGCGCGAGCUCCGGCCCGUCUCAGUGCAGGUAGUAGGCGACGAGGGAGACGAGGAGCGCGGCGGCGCCGGGCGCGCCGGCGAAGGCGCCGCUGGUGGCCGGGGCGGUCGCUCCGGCCGCGGCGCUGGCAGCCGCGCCGGUCGCGCCGGGGGACUCGGCCGGCGCCUCCGUGGCCGGGGAGGUCGCCGCGACCAGGGAGGCGGAGGCCACCAGGGCGAUCAGCACGGCGCAGGCGAUCUUCUUCAUCUCCAUGGCUUCUGCCUCUCUCUCCUCGCGGGUACGGUACGGUUGCACGGGGCCUGCGCAAAAGAAACAAACAGCAAGCGGCUAGGCGGUCGAGGAGGAGAGGUCGGCCGGCGAGGCGCGGUUUAUUCCGGUGGUGGGAGCGGGGCGGUGGGGGGAGGGCGGCUCGGUCGCUCUCUGGAAGGCCUGGGAGAGGGUGGGGUGGCGCGGCGCCGCGUUUUGUAGGGCGCGCGAGCGGCCAUGAGAGGGCCUCGCCUGGCCGUCGGUUGCCG